UUUACCCUGCUAUGUUCGUGAUUCGUUGCUGUCCUUGAACCGUAAUGAAAACGAACCCCGGAAUGAGUUGCGGCGGUGGCCGACAUGCCUUCACUGGAAGCCGAAAGCCGUCCGGCGAUUUCCACAUGUUGCAAAACAUGUUCAGAGGAUCAUGCAACACACGGCAACGGCGGGGUUUUU
RNAcentral lists this non-coding RNA (180 nucleotides) under Verrucomicrobiota bacterium. RNAcentral describes it as "Verrucomicrobia bacterium (mine drainage metagenome) 6S RNA". It matches the Rfam family "6S / SsrS RNA". Rfam says of the family: E. coli 6S RNA was the first non coding RNA to be sequenced, but its function was unknown until recently. It consists of 184 nucleotides that fold into an extended hairpin structure with a large single-stranded internal bulge. Lineage: Bacteria; Pseudomonadati; Verrucomicrobiota. The record is from RNAcentral.